RNAcentral lists this ribosomal RNA (595 nucleotides) under Saccharomyces cerevisiae (brewer's yeast). RNAcentral's name for it is "partial large subunit ribosomal RNA". It matches the Rfam family "Eukaryotic large subunit ribosomal RNA", at positions 48 to 657 of the family's 3401-position model. Lineage: Eukaryota; Fungi; Ascomycota; Saccharomycetes; Saccharomycetales; Saccharomycetaceae. The record is from RNAcentral.
UAGCGGAGGAAAAGAAACCAACCGGGAUUGCCUUAGUAACGGCGAGUGAAGCGGCAAAAGCUCAAAUUUGAAAUCUGGUACCUUCGGUGCCCGAGUUGUAAUUUGGAGAGGGCAACUUUGGGGCCGUUCCUUGUCUAUGUUCCUUGGAACAGGACGUCAUAGAGGGUGAGAAUCCCGUGUGGCGAGGAGUGCGGUUCUUUGUAAAGUGCCUUCGAAGAGUCGAGUUGUUUGGGAAUGCAGCUCUAAGUGGGUGGUAAAUUCCAUCUAAAGCUAAAUAUUGGCGAGAGACCGAUAGCGAACAAGUACAGUGAUGGAAAGAUGAAAAGAACUUUGAAAAGAGAGUGAAAAAGUACGUGAAAUUGUUGAAAGGGAAGGGCAUUUGAUCAGACAUGGUGUUUUGUGCCCUCUGCUCCUUGUGGGUAGGGGAAUCUCGCAUUUCACUGGGCCAGCAUCAGUUUUGGUGGCAGGAUAAAUCCAUAGGAAUGUAGCUUGCCUCGGUAAGUAUUAUAGCCUGUGGGAAUACUGCCAGCUGGGACUGAGGACUGCGACGUAAGUCAAGGAUGCUGGCAUAAUGGUUAUAUGCCGCCCGUCUUGA